UUUUGACAGUUAAUAUUGAAUAAGAGUCAUGCUGCAAACGGAAGAUUUGCCGCGUAUGACACCGUUGUCACCCGGCAGCGAUGCAACAAAUUCCAAGUCAACAAAACUGAUAUGCAAGGUAAGUGUGUAUCUAUAGCCUGUAGCGUAUGAAAAUGUGUAAUAUAUACGUCUGUGCGAGACGCGUGAUCAAGCCUCGCGUGCAUGUAUUCGCGGACACGACUGUCUGAGUGCAUCCAGCCAGCCUGCAGACCAGGCGAUCACACAUGUUUGCGUAUUUGCUUGAUCACUCAUGGACUUGUAUUAGCAAUUUAAAUAUGGCAACCGCGCAUAGUGUACCAACGUUACCACGAACGAAAUUCCUUUAUUCUCGCCUCGCUUAUCUGAUCCACUUCUUUCCAAUUUCAAUCGUUUUUGGUAAUAAUUGCUGCCUGUAUAGAUAUACGAGCGAAGGACACUCUUUACAGUAUGUACCAUUCGACUCUUUUGGUAGCAAUCAUUGGUUUGCUUUUAUACACCUUAAGAUUGAAUCGUAAAUACUAAGAAAAAAUUCUACUUGUCAAUUUACUAUACCUACGUUCGUGAUCAUUGACUUCUUCACGACAAGUAGCAAUAUGUGUAUGAAGAUACAGCAGAUAGCGGAAUUUAUCUACAGAUAUUUCAAGGAGACAUGCCAAAAUGCACAUGUUAAUCGAAAAACACUCCUAAAAGUCGAUUAACUCGCGAUAAUUAAUAAGAAGUUGAGUGCAGGAGAAGAAUACUUGCAAGUACGUUGUACAAAAGUAACUGACAUGGGUAUAGUUAUUACUUUGAUAAGAAAGAAUCUACAUAUUAUCUAAUCUAUUAUUCACGUACAUAACAAUGAAUCUAUUAACAUCUGAUGCUUUCUCUAUUACCUUGUUCUACUAAAC
Molecule: long non-coding RNA, 908 nt
Organism: Ceratina calcarata
Lineage: Eukaryota; Metazoa; Arthropoda; Insecta; Hymenoptera; Apidae
Exons: 3
Source: RefSeq, a predicted model, not a curated record